ACGCUGGCGAGAAAAGCUGCUAAGGAGAGUGUGAGUGCCCGUACCGGAAACCGACGCAGGUGGGCGAGGAGAGAAUCCUGAGACGGACGGGAGAACUCUUGUUAAGGAACUCGGCAAAAUGACCCCGUAACUUCGGGAGAAGGGGUGCCUCGAAAGAGGCCGCAGAGAAUAGUCACAAGCGACUGUUUAGCAAAAACACAGGUAUCUGCGAAAGCGAGAGCUGACGUAUAGGUGCUGACGCCUGCCCGGUGCUGGAAGGUUAAGGGGAAGUGUUAGGGGAAACCCGAAGCAGAGAACCGAAGCCCCAGUAAACGGCGGCCGUAACUAUAACGGUCCUAAGGUAGCGAAAUUCCUUGUCGGGUAAGUUCCGACCCGCACGAAUGGCGUAACGACUUGUGAGCUGUCUCAACAGGAGGCCCGGUGAAAUUGAAGUAUGUGUGAAGAUGCACAUUACCCGCGACUGGACGGAAAGACCCCGUAGAGCUUUACUGUAACCUGACAUUGGAUCUUGAUAACGGAUGCACAGGAUAGGUGGGACGCUGGGAGGUAUGGACUUUGGUCUGUACGGAGCGGACGUUGGGAUACCACUCUUCUGUUAUUGAGAUUCUAACCUCAAGCCGUAAGCCGGAUGAGAGACAGUGUCAGGCGGACAGUUUGACUGGGGCGGUCGCCUCCGAAAGAGUAACGGAGGCGCCCAAAGGUACCCUCAGAAUGGAUGGAAACCAUUCGAAGAGAGCAAAGUCAGAAGGGUGCUUGACUGCGAGACCAACAAGUCGAGCAGGUACGAAAGUAGGGCUUAGUGAUCCGGCGGUAAGAGAGUGGAAUUGCCGUCGCUCAACGGAUAAAAGCUACCUCGGGGAUAACAGGCUGAUCUCCCCCAAGAGUUCACAUCGACGGGGAGGUUUGGCACCUCGAUGUCGGCUCGUCGCAUCCUGGGGCUGAAGCAGGUCCCAAGGGUUUGGCUGUUCGCCAAUUAAAGCGGCACGCGAGCUGGGUUCAGAACGUCGUGAGACAGUUC
RNAcentral lists this ribosomal RNA (1018 nucleotides) under human gut metagenome. RNAcentral describes it as "bacterial LSU rRNA". It matches the Rfam family "Bacterial large subunit ribosomal RNA", at positions 1602 to 2632 of the family's 2925-position model. The record is from RNAcentral.